Molecule: long non-coding RNA, 691 nt
Organism: Poeciliopsis prolifica (blackstripe livebearer)
Lineage: Eukaryota; Metazoa; Chordata; Actinopteri; Cyprinodontiformes; Poeciliidae
Exons: 3
Source: RefSeq, a predicted model, not a curated record
UGAAAAAAGAAAACAGAGAUCCAAGAUGGCGGAACGUCAUACCGAAGAGUUCCUAAAUUAAACUGACAUCACCUUGAUACGUUUUGGACGGGAUUUGUUCCAGCAUUUUGCGUUCAUAGUGAGCGAUAACGGCCUGGGCGUCGCUGCAGAAGCUCUCGGCUCUCCUCUGCAUGGCGUUCUCUGAGGACGAGGAGGAUCUGCUGCGGCUCUGGACCCUGCUGGUCAUCGUCUCUGGAGAACAGCUCAGCAGAACCACGGCACUCGGUUCCCCCAUCUGAUCCCACAGAGGAGAAAACGUCUCACUGGAUCCAUGUGGGGUCGGUGUCGGUGCGCUGCCUUGCCUUGGCUUCGUACUCCUCCGCCUGCUUCAGGUCUCUAGGGAAGCCGCUCACCACCAGGCCCUUUCCCUGUCGGACCGCAGACGCCACGGCGUCACACAGCAGGUCCAGCAGCGUCUCCUACAGAUUCAAAACAAAUAAUUCAACAAGUUAUGAAUUAAAGGUGACCUACGUUUUGGGGAGUUUGCACAAAAUUAUUUUUAGAUCAUGAGAUUUUAUUGUCUGGUCAGUUCUUAGGAGUUUGAGCUUCUUUCAGAAUGAGCUACUUUUGGGCCUUUUGUCACUUUAAGUUCCUCCAACUCAACAUUGACAUUUGCAUUUGAGAAUGGCUGGAAACAGAUAAACUAUUGUAC